Molecule: ribosomal RNA, 398 nt
Rfam family: Eukaryotic small subunit ribosomal RNA
AUUCCAGCUCCAAUAGCGUAUAUUAAAGUUGUUGCAGUUAAAAAGCUCGUAGUUGGAUUUCUGAAUCGAAUGUCCGGUCGGCUUACUAAGUAAGCUCGUACAAGUGAUAUUUGUUUCAUUUUUUGUGAGGAAAUUUAUCUGUCAUUAAGUUGAUGGGUUUACGGACUUGCAUCGUUUACUGUGAAAAAAUUAGAGUGUUUAAAGCAGGCGUUUGCCUUGAAUACAUUAGCAUGGAAUAAUAAGAUAUGACUUUGGUGGUCUAUUUUGUUGGUUUGCACACCAGAGUAAUGAUUAAUAGGGACAGUUGGGGGUAUUCAUAUUUCAGCGUCAGAGGUGAAAUUCUUAGAUCGCUGAAAGAUGAGCUUAGGCGAAAGCAUUUACCAAGGAUGUUUUCAUUA